GACGUAGGGGGCGAGCGUUGUCCGGAAUUACUGGGCGUAAAGAGCACGUAGGCGGGACUACAGGUCAGGUGUGAAAGACCGCGGCUCAACCGCGGGGUUGCAUUUGAAACCGUAGUUCUUGAGGGCAGGAGAGGUCAGUAGAAUUCCUGGUGUAGCGGUGAAAUGCGUAGAAAUCAGGAGGAAUACCAGUGGCGAAGGCGACUGACUGGACUGACCCUGACGCUGAGGUGCGAAAGCGUGGGUAGCAAACAGG
Molecule: ribosomal RNA, 253 nt
Filed under: uncultured bacterium
Lineage: Bacteria
Description: partial 16S ribosomal RNA
Rfam family: Bacterial small subunit ribosomal RNA
Source: RNAcentral